Molecule: long non-coding RNA, 814 nt
Organism: Parus major (Great Tit)
Lineage: Eukaryota; Metazoa; Chordata; Aves; Passeriformes; Paridae
Exons: 2
Source: RefSeq, a predicted model, not a curated record
GGAGGCCGCGGGGAGGAGCCGGGCGGCCCCCGCGGAGCCGGGCUGGUGGCGGCGGUCCCUCCUCCGCGCCGCUGCGCACCGAGACAACAUGGUGGAGGCGUGCGGGGCGGCGGGGAGGGAGCCGGGGCUUGCCCUGCCCCGCGGCUCGCCCGAGAGCGGCCGCCUACUCCCGGCCUUGGGUCGCGGGGACCCCGGUCCGGGUAGAGCUGCUCCUUCCGCCGUGUCGUUCUGGGCCGGUGAGCUCGGGGAGCUUCUCUUGCCAGAGAAGCUGAACGUGAAAGAUUCCGGCAGCGGAGCCCUUCGGCGUGGUGCGUGAAAAGCGAACAAAAAUAACUUUUAAAACUCCUCGCCUAGGCAUCUUCAGGAGUAAAAAAGGAGCAGAACAGAACCAAACCUGAGCCUGCCUUCAGGAGUGCUGAAGCUGGUGAUGGUACAUCACAGCCACCCAGAACCUUUUUGUUCAUAUUCUUCAAAAGAAAAGACUGCUGUAAAGGUUCAGAAGAACUAAGUAUACGCAAUGAAUUCAGAACUACAAGCUAUAAAAAUGACCAAUAUAUUUAGAAAGGAGAGGUUUUACCAACAUAUACAAAUUUUGAGUUAUUCUAAGAAAGGCAGCAGGCAAAUAGUCCUUUCCUCCCUUCUACUUCUUUGAAUAUGCAAUUAAUUGAUCCUGUUUUUUCAGAUAACUGUAAAACUUUGGACGGAAUGUAUAAAUCUUUGCUUCUUUUUUUUUUUUUUUAGUUUUUAAGUAAUGUUGUAUUCUACUAUUUUCUUUUGUUUCAUACAUUUCAUUAAACAGUUUGUUGAAGCCAGA